This 1489-nucleotide long non-coding RNA is filed under the name Astyanax mexicanus (Mexican tetra). RNAcentral's name for it is "lncRNA (ENSAMXG00005006502.1)". The record is from RNAcentral. Lineage: Eukaryota; Metazoa; Chordata; Actinopteri; Characiformes; Acestrorhamphidae.
GCUUACAAUGCUUCCUAUUGAGGCUUAUUGUUUCCUAAUGAACCAAACACUUUCUUUUGCUUCUAUUGCUUUCUUUGCCCUACAUGUGUUCAUAUUGCCCAUUAAUUCUCCCAAAUGACCUGUAUUGUUUCUUAUUUACCUGUAAUGCUUGCUAUUGACCCUUAGUGGUUUAUACUGUCCCUAAUGCACAGUGCACAGAGUCACGGAGAUUCUGCAAUGGGACAGACUGAUGGAGGGACGGUGGGAGGAAAGACACUAGGCUCACACCAUCGCUAGGUUCCAUGUCCGGGUGCAUAGUCAGUUACGCAAGAGCAAAGCAGAAAAAAAGAAGAAGCAGUAGAAGGAGUGGGAGGGGGAGGACGCUGCGGAAAGUCUGCAGGUUUUUUUUUCUGUUCUCGCUCUCUGCAUGUUUCGCGUGACGCAGCGAGGGGGCCUGGCCGAGGGAAACCCGUUACUUCCUCUCUUGUGUGGCUUAUAAACUUUCAGAGGCGGGCUGGCUGUCAACAAAGAGUGCAGAGUGUGAGAGAGUAUAUAUAGGAAGCAACAUACAAACAGACGACAGUUACACUUCAAUACCCUCAACAUCAACACCAGCAACAUGUCAUCAACAGACCUGGAGAGCUUGGAGAGCAGGAAUGGGCGCUCGAGGCACAUGGACAUGUGUCUAGUGGGAUCCGUGGUUGUGCUAUUUGUGUUAGUUAUCUCGGGUUUCGCUGUGCUGUUCGCAUGGAACCUGAAGCCUGGAGCGGAGAUUGUACAUGAAUUUCCACAGGCUCUACGGGGUGAACAAGACGACAUGAGCUUGCGAUACAAGGGGCAGAACUUUGCCUAUCUGCGGGCCAACAUAGAUAAAACUGGCAAGAUGUCCAAAGGUGUGAUGGACUGGGAGCCUAUAACCUACGGAAACGGCAAGACCCUGGGCUCGGGAUACGAGUACGAUGCUAAUCAAAGAGUGCUAACAGUGAAGCAAGCAGGAGCCUACUUCCUCUACGUUCAGUUCAACGUGUCCUGCAACCACAAGUGUAAGAACGAAACGCUCACCAUCACCUUCACGUUUGACAACGUUGAGCAGCUCACCUGCACUUUAGAGCUACCUGACUACGAGACAGUGGCCAAGAAGUGCUGGACGGUGAUCCCACACAUGGACAAGAACAGCAAACUCAUGGCCAGGAUACAUUCAGACAAAGAGCUCAAAUCUCGCGUCCUGGAGGUCAACAGUUCUGGAUUUGGGAUGUUCCGCGUGGACGGGCCGGGGACGGACUAAAAACCAGGGCUUUUAUGGCGAAUGCUUUGAUAUAGUACUGUACGUGUGAUGUUUAUGGACAUCAUCAAAAAGACCUCAAGGGUCCUGACCCUAUGCACUUUGAUCUACUCAGGAUGGACUCUCAGGAAGCACUAUUUAUGAACAUUUUUAUAUUCCUAUUAACUAUUUAUGUCUUAUAGCCGUUUUUAUAGAUAUGUUAUUUAUGAGCUGUGUAAUUUAUGUGUU